RNAcentral lists this non-coding RNA (151 nucleotides) under Paraburkholderia bannensis. The record is from RNAcentral. Lineage: Bacteria; Pseudomonadati; Pseudomonadota; Betaproteobacteria; Burkholderiales; Burkholderiaceae. RNAcentral also lists the same sequence under 1 other name.
CCUGCUGUACGACCAGCAGUAACCUAGGAGGACAUGCGUCAUUGGCAACGAUGAGGUGUGAAGCUUCUCUGACAAUAGGUCCCAGAAAGUUCGGGGACUCUCGGCCGUGAGGUCGGUGUCCGAUACUCCUAGCAGCACAGGGGUUGAGACC